GAUGAAGAACGUAGUGAAAUGCGAUAAGUAAUGUGAAUUGCAGAAUUCAGUGAAUCAUCGAAUCUUUGAACGCACAUUGCGCCCGCCAGUAUUCUGGCGGACAUGCCUGUCCGAGCGUCAUUUCAACCCUCGGGCCCCCCUCUGCGGGCGGCCCGGCGUUGGGGCUCAGGCGCCGUCUCUGCUCGGCGCCUGUCCCCUAAAUGCAGUGGCGGCCUCGCCGCUGCCUCCUCCGCGUAGUAGCACAAACCUCGCGGCUGGAAGGCGGCGCGGCCACGCCGUAAAACCCCCCAACUUUACCAAGGUUGACCUCGGAUCAGGUAGGAAUACCCGCUGAACUUAAGCAUAUCAAUAAGCGGAGGA
Molecule: unclassified non-coding RNA, 360 nt
Filed under: soil metagenome
Description: partial contains 5.8S ribosomal RNA, internal transcribed spacer 2, and large subunit ribosomal RNA
Rfam family: 5.8S ribosomal RNA (bases 1-120)
Source: RNAcentral